CACGUAGGCGGUCUGUUAUGUCGGAUGUGAAAGCCCUUGGCUUAACUAAGGAAGUGCAUCCGAAACUGGCAGGCUAGAGUACUAAAGAGGGUCGCGGAAUUCCCGGUGUAGAGGUGAAAUUCGUAGAUAUCGGGAGGAACACCGGUGGCGAAGGCGGCGACCUGGGUAGAUACUGACGCUGAGGUGCGAAAGCGUGGGGAGAAAC
RNAcentral lists this ribosomal RNA (205 nucleotides) under uncultured bacterium. Its description in RNAcentral is "partial 16S ribosomal RNA". It matches the Rfam family "Bacterial small subunit ribosomal RNA", at positions 568 to 772 of the family's 1533-position model. The record is from RNAcentral.